AGUGGAAUGACUGGAUCAAAUGGUGGUUCCAUUCCAAGUUUUAUGAGAAACCCCCAUAUUGCUUUUCAUAGUGGUUGCACCAAUUUGUAGUCCCACCAGCAAU
Molecule: microRNA precursor, 103 nt
Filed under: Marmota monax (woodchuck)
Lineage: Eukaryota; Metazoa; Chordata; Mammalia; Rodentia; Sciuridae
Source: RNAcentral